This 73-nucleotide transfer RNA is filed under the name Danio rerio (zebrafish). It matches the Rfam family "tRNA". Rfam says of the family: Transfer RNA (tRNA) molecules are approximately 80 nucleotides in length. Their secondary structure includes four short double-helical elements and three loops (D, anti-codon, and T loops). The record is from Rfam by way of RNAcentral. Lineage: Eukaryota; Metazoa; Chordata; Actinopteri; Cypriniformes; Danionidae.
CCUUGGCUAGCUCAGUCGGUAGAGCAUGAGAUUCUUCAUCUCAGGGUCGUGGGUUUGAGCCCCUCGUUGGGCA